UCCACUUUAAUUUGAUGGGUAAUAAGCAUUAAAUAUAUUUGAAUAUGGACUUUAAAGAAAAAUUGUUCCAGUUUAAAGUUUUAAAUAAUAUACGAAAUUAUAAUUUAGUUAAUUUUUUAAUUUAGGUUCAUUAGGUGCCAGCAACCGCGGUCAAACCUAAUAGAUAAGCUUACACAUAUAUUAAGUUUAUUAAAGAUGCUUUAAAAGUAAUAACAAUAAGUAGUGAAAUACUAUUGGGAGCUAUAACCUGCUAAAGCAAAAUUUAUAACAAAUCCUCAAUUAAAACUAGGAUUAGAGACCCUACUAUUAUGGACUCAUUAUCUACUUACUAAGAAGUAAAACUACAUAGUUUAAACUUAAAACUUAUGGCGGCUAAAUAAAACCUUUAGGGGAACUUACCAUAUAAUUGAUAAUCACCAAGCACAAUCAUACUUACUAUAAAAACUUGUAUACCGUUGUCUUCAUGAACCCCUAUAGGGGGUUCAUAAAAUAUUUCAUAUAUAAAGAUAAAUCAAGGUGCAGUCUAUUAAUAAGAAUUGAGGCGAGUUACAGUAAAAAAUCUAUUCAGAUUUAACAAUGAAAGAAUAUAUGAAGAUGGACUUAAUAGUUAAAAUUAAAUUAACACUAUUAUAAUUUGAAUGUGUAUUGUUUAGUGUA
This 657-nucleotide ribosomal RNA is filed under the name Carinigera schuetti. Its description in RNAcentral is "partial 12S ribosomal RNA". The record is from RNAcentral. Lineage: Eukaryota; Metazoa; Mollusca; Gastropoda; Stylommatophora; Clausiliidae.